This 211-nucleotide ribosomal RNA is filed under the name Thalassiosira minuscula. RNAcentral's name for it is "partial Eukaryotic large subunit ribosomal RNA". It matches the Rfam family "Eukaryotic large subunit ribosomal RNA", at positions 2432 to 2641 of the family's 3401-position model. Lineage: Eukaryota; Bacillariophyta; Thalassiosirophyceae; Thalassiosirales; Thalassiosiraceae. The record is from RNAcentral.
UCCGACGUUGUGAAAUGACUUAUGAGGUGUAGUAUAAGUGGGAGCUUCGGCGCACCUGAAAUACCACUACUCGUAAUGUUGUUUUACUUAUCUCAUGACGUAGCACCCAGCCGUCCUCGCGGGCGCCUGGUUCUGGAUUUAAGUUGACUUGUUCGGCAAGCUACGUGGGAGACAACGUCAGGUGGGGAGUUUGGCUGGGGCGGCACAUCUG